UCUAUAAUGUUCUUACAUUAUGUAUAGAUGAUUCAGAUAAAUUGGUUUGGAAUCUGCGGUUAUUUGUGUUUUUAUAAGUUUUUAUCCAUCAAAGGGUCUAAAGUUCAUGGAUAAGUAUUCAUGUUUAUCAAUAACUAAGAAAUUCAUGUUUAAUAAUUUUUGUAUGCAAUAUUUUUACUACUUAGGAUUCCUAACGGGUAUAUUGGUGAGUUAUGGGUCAAAUCUAUGAAACAAGUUUGACCUAAUUUUGUACCGACUAAAAGAACAAUUAUUUAUAAAUUAUAUUUUGAAAACACUGAUUACGUUCAUUGUGUUGAUGGUGAAAAAUUAAUGCUAAAAAAGUCUGCUGUGCCUAGUGUUUUUAAUUCUGUUAUAAGUGUUUCAACAUGUUUGACACCAUCAAAAUUGAAAUGUAAAAACUCUCCUGAGGUAAUUGGAGUGAUAAUAGAUGAUUUGCCUAUGCUUAAAAGUUCUCGAACAUGUAUGUUCUUCUCGAUGCCAAAGCAAUCGCAUGAAACAGACAAGGAAAUGGGAAUAACAACAAUGAAGCUUCAUCUUCUACUAUGCUGACAAACAUGAAAGUUUUUUUGAAAAGUUACUUAUGUCUUGUUAAAUGUAGUGUAUUUAACCAUGUAGAACUUGAAAGCUUAGAAAUGAAACAUCUACGUAGUGAACUUCAGAGUCAGACAGAGAAAUUAAAAAUUCAGUAUCAGAAAGUAGAACGUUUGAAUGUGGUAGGUAGGUACCUAAGUUAUAUUUUAGAUAACAAUAAGACAGUUUUUGAUGUGAAAUAACAAUAAAAUGUUUAUAACGAAAUAUAAUACAACGCAGGAUUUGUAGCAAGAAAAUUAAAAACAAGAAUGAUGUUUGAAGAUUGUGUAACUGUUAUUCAGAUCAAAAUAUUAUAUCUCAAAAAUCUUUAUUUAAUGUUCUAAAUAAAGGUGGGCUAACUAAACCUUCCAAAGAAUUUAUUUUUAAAAGCAAUAUAGCAGAGAUUUCAAAACAAUUUAAUAUUAUUCAACAUUUAAUAGUAAAAUCUUCAGCUCACCUGAAAAUAAAUAAAUUAUUCACUGGGAUUUCAAAUUAUUUAUUAAAUCAAUCGCUUUUAAACA
Molecule: long non-coding RNA, 1112 nt
Organism: Aphis gossypii (cotton aphid)
Lineage: Eukaryota; Metazoa; Arthropoda; Insecta; Hemiptera; Aphididae
Exons: 3
Source: RefSeq, a predicted model, not a curated record